UCUUAUUUUAGUCUAUAUUAUGAUAUUCUAAAGUUUCGUCAAAAUCGGAGAACCACGGGUACAAAACCAUGUCGCCAAUUGAUGGAAUGGCCCAUAUAUACAUAACACAUAAAAAGUGAACAAACGUGCGGUGACAAAAAAAAAUCAAAAAAGAAGACAAGUACGGUGGUUUAUACAUACAUACAUACAUAGUAUAAGUGAAAAGUGGUAACGCUGUGAUUAAAGUGACGAAAAUCAAAGCACAAAUAAAACACAACAAAAACAAUUUUAGGGCUUACAAACAACCGUUAUGUGAACAAAACUAUAAUACUCUCGUUAGCAACAUUGUUGCGAGAGUAUAAAAAGGGGUUCUAAACCGUACAAGUGAGGUGAAAAGAAAAAAAACCAAAAAAAAUAAUCAUAAUUGUGCUGUGUAAAUAAAAGUGAAGUAUUGGGUGAAAUAACGCACAAACAAGAAAAAAAUAGAAAAAACCACAAAGCCACCAGAGAAUCACCGCAGAAACAAGCAGCACAAGGAUAGGAGAAAGAAGCACUCCACAAGCACAGGCACAAGCGUAGACACAGGCAAAUACACAUAGACACACACACUCAUAUUAUCCUCAAAAGCCCCUGGCGGAAAUCAAAGCUUCACUGAUGUCCAAAGAUCUACAACGACUAAGUGCUACAUAAGCUUGUCCAGCAGCAAACAGUCGAGAGCCCAGAUUUCUGUAACGAAGGCUGUUCUCAUUUACUAAAACUUUUGACACUUCAAUGUUCGACCUUACGGGACAUCUCGACAGGCGGAAAUUUAUUAUAUACUAACUGUUUUGCUGUACAUUUUGCCUGUGAAGACUCCAAAUUGCUUAUGGAAUACAAUAUAUGACAUACUAGUUUGUAUUAAGACGGUUGUGAUAAAUUAUAAAAAUAAAGUACAUUUUCAAAAUAACUUAACACAUUUUUCCAAAAAAUUAAUAUUUAGUUUAAUAUUGUUAAUUUGCAGAAAAAUUAUACAAAAUGAA
Bactrocera neohumeralis is the source of this 998-nucleotide long non-coding RNA. RefSeq lists it as uncharacterized. The record is from RefSeq and is a predicted model, not a curated record. The transcript is spliced from 3 exons. NCBI's taxonomy places the organism in Eukaryota, Metazoa, Arthropoda, Insecta, Diptera, Tephritidae.